Molecule: ribosomal RNA, 253 nt
Filed under: uncultured bacterium
Lineage: Bacteria
Description: partial 16S ribosomal RNA
Rfam family: Bacterial small subunit ribosomal RNA
Source: RNAcentral
UACGAAGGGGGCUAGCGUUGCUCGGAAUCACUGGGCGUAAAGCGCACGUAGGCGGCUUCUUAAGUCAGGGGUGAAAUCCUGGAGCUCAACUCCAGAACUGCCUUUGAUACUGAGAGGCUUGAGUCCGGGAGAGGUGAGUGGAACUGCGAGUGUAGAGGUGAAAUUCGUAGAUAUUCGCGAGAACACCAGUGGCGAAGGCGACUCACUGGCCCGGUACUGACGCUGAGGUGCGAAAGCGUGGGGAGCAAACAGG